This 200-nucleotide unclassified non-coding RNA is filed under the name soil metagenome. RNAcentral's name for it is "partial contains internal transcribed spacer 2 and large subunit ribosomal RNA". The record is from RNAcentral.
UUCGAGCGUCAUUAUAACCAUUCAAGCCUUGGCUUGGUAUUGGGGUUUCGCGGUUCUGCGGCCCUUAAAAUCAGUGGCGGUGCCGUCUGGCUCUAAGCGUAGUAAUUCUCUCGCUAUAGGGUCCCGGCGGUGGCUUGCCAAAACCCUUCUAUUUUCUUACGGUUGACCUCGGAUCAGGUAGGGAUACCCGCUGAACUUAA